AAGCGGCGGAGCAUGUGGAUUAAUUCGAUGCAACGCGAAGAACCUUACCUGGGUUUGACAUAUACCGGAAAGCCGUAGAGAUACGGCCCCCCUUGUGGUCGGUAUACAGGUGGUGCAUGGCUGUCGUCAGCUCGUGUCGUGAGAUGUUGGGUUAAGUCCCGCAACGAGCGCAACCCUUGUCUUAUGUUGCCAGCACGUAAUGGUGGGGACUCGUAAGAGACUGCCGGGGUCAACUCGGAGGAAGGUGGGGACGACGUCAAGUCAUCAUGCCCCUUAUGUCCAGGGCUUCACACAUGCUACAAUGGCCAGUACAGAGGGCUGCGAGACCGUGAGGUGGAGCGAAUCCCUUAAAGCUGGUCUCAGUUCGGAUCGGGGUCUGCAACUCGACCCCGUGAAGUCGGAGUCGCUAGUAAUCGCAGAUCAGCAACGCUGCGGUGAAUACGUUCCCGGGCCUUGUACACACCGCCCGUCACGUCAUGAAAGUCGGUAACACCCGAAGCCGGUGGCCUAACCCCUUGUGGGAGGGAGCCGUCGAAGGU
This 539-nucleotide ribosomal RNA is filed under the name bacterium st7(2009). RNAcentral describes it as "bacterial SSU rRNA". It matches the Rfam family "Bacterial small subunit ribosomal RNA", at positions 927 to 1463 of the family's 1533-position model. The record is from RNAcentral.